AACUCGGCUGCAUGAAGCUGGAAUCGCUAGUAAUCGCAGAUCAGAAUGCUGCGGUGAAUACGUUCCCGGGUCUUGUACACACCGCCCGUCAAGCCAUGGAAGCCGGGAGUGCCUGAAGUACGCGACCGCAAGGAGCGUCCUAAGGUAAAACCGAUGACUGGGGCUAAGUCGUAACAAGGUAUC
RNAcentral lists this ribosomal RNA (183 nucleotides) under uncultured bacterium. Its description in RNAcentral is "partial 16S ribosomal RNA". It matches the Rfam family "Bacterial small subunit ribosomal RNA", at positions 1309 to 1500 of the family's 1533-position model. The record is from RNAcentral.